GCCUGCUUAGCAUAGUGGUAGUGCGUCUGCCUCGUAAGCAGAAGGUCGCGUGUUCGAUCCACGCAGCAGGCA
Spizellomyces punctatus DAOM BR117 is the source of this 72-nucleotide transfer RNA. It matches the Rfam family "tRNA". From Rfam's summary of the family: Transfer RNA (tRNA) molecules are approximately 80 nucleotides in length. The record is from Rfam. NCBI's taxonomy places the organism in Eukaryota, Fungi, Chytridiomycota, Chytridiomycetes, Spizellomycetales, Spizellomycetaceae.